AAUCCAUAGGUUAAUGAGGCGAACCGGGGGAACUGAAACAUCUAAGUACCCCGAGGAAAAGAAAUCAACCGAGAUUCCCCCAGUAGCGGCGAGCGAACGGGGAGGAGCCCAGAGCCUGAAUCAGCAUGUGUGUUAGUGGAAGCGUCUGGAAAGGCGCGCGAUACAGGGUGACAGCCCCGUACACAAAAGCGCAUGUGCUGUGAGCUCGAUGAGUAGGGCGGGACACGUGGUAUCCUGUCUGAAUAUGGGGGGACCAUCCUCCAAGGCUAAAUACUCCUGACUGACCGAUAGUGAACCAGUACCGUGAGGGAAAGGCGAAAAGAACCCCGGCGAGGGGAGUGAAAAAGAACCUGAAACCGUGUACGUACAAGCAGUGGGAGCACCCUUCGGGGUGUGACUGCGUACCUUUUGUAUAAUGGGUCAGCGACUUAUAUUCUGUAGCAAGGUUAACCGUAUAGGGGAGCCGUAGGGAAACCGAGUCUUAACCGGGCGUUAAGUUGCAGGGUAUAGACCCGAAACCCGGUGAUCUAGCCAUGGGCAGGUUGAAGGUUGGGUAACACUAACUGGAGGACCGAACCGACUAAUGUUGAAAAAUUAGCGGAUGACCUGUGGCUGGGGGUGAAAGGCCAAUCAAACCGGGAGAUAGCUGGUUCUCCCCGAAAGCUAUUUAGGUAGCGCCUCGUGAAUUCAUCUCCGGGGGUAGAGCACUGUUUCGGCUAGGGGGCCAUCCCGGCUUACCAACCCGAUGCAAACUGCGAAUACCGGAGAAUGUUAUCACGGGAGACACACGGCGGGUGCUAACGUCCGUCGUGAAGAGGGAAACAACCCAGACCGCCAGCUAAGGUCCCAAAGUCAUGGUUAAGUGGGAAACGAUGUGGGAAGGCCCAGACAGCCAGGAUGUUGGCUUAGAAGCAGCCAUCAUUUAAAGAAAGCGUAAUAGCUCACUGGUCGAGUCGGCCUGCGCGGAAGAUGUAACGGGGCUAAACCAUGCAC
Molecule: ribosomal RNA, 993 nt
Filed under: Salmonella enterica
Lineage: Bacteria; Pseudomonadati; Pseudomonadota; Gammaproteobacteria; Enterobacterales; Enterobacteriaceae
Also listed under: 1 other name
Description: partial 23S ribosomal RNA
Rfam family: Bacterial large subunit ribosomal RNA
Source: RNAcentral